GACGAACGCUGGCGGCGUGCCUAAUACAUGCAAGUCGAACGCUUCUUUUUCCACCGGAGCUUGAUCCACCGGAAAAAGAGGAGUGGCGAACGGGUGAGUAACACGUGGGUAACCUGCCCAUCAGAAGGGGAUAACACUUGGACACAGGUGCUAAUACUGUAUAACAAUCAAAACCGCAUGGCAUUGAUUUAAAAGGCGCUUUCGGGUGUCGCUGAUGGAGGGACCCGCGGUUCAUUAGCUAGUUGGUGAGGUAACGGCCCACCAAGGCCACGAUGCAUAGCCGACCGGGGAGGGUGAUCGGCCACAUUGGGACUGAGACACGGCCCAAACUCCUACGGGAGGCAGCAGUAGGGAAUCUUCGGCAAUGGACGAAAGUCUGACCGAGCAACGCCGCGUGAGCGAAGAAGGUUUUCGGAUCGUAAAACUCUGUUGUUAGAGAAGAACAAGGAUGAGAGUAACUGUUCAUCCCUUGACGGUAUCUAACCAGAAAGCCACGGCUAACUACGUGCCAGCCGCCGCCGUAA
RNAcentral lists this ribosomal RNA (524 nucleotides) under uncultured bacterium. RNAcentral describes it as "partial 16S ribosomal RNA". It matches the Rfam family "Bacterial small subunit ribosomal RNA", at positions 28 to 523 of the family's 1533-position model. The record is from RNAcentral.